Drosophila pseudoobscura is the source of this 3608-nucleotide RNA transcript. It is a transcript of the gene named Protein spinster, with no coding region annotated. The transcript is spliced from 9 exons. NCBI's taxonomy places the organism in Eukaryota, Metazoa, Arthropoda, Insecta, Diptera, Drosophilidae. The record is from RefSeq and is a predicted model, not a curated record.
UCUUAUCGAUAAAUCCGCGGUCACUCUGGCUAUGAAUUUGUUGUUUUUCUUGUUGUUAUCGUCAGAGUUUUUCCAAUUUCUUGCUUAAAUUUCAUCAAGUGCUCGGUCUGUUGUUAUCCGCCAGAGUAGCUACAUAUUUGUUUCGCAAUCCAAUUUCUUGCUUAAAGUUUCAUCGUGCUCACGUCGCGGAUGAAAAAAAAGUGAUAAAUAUAGAAGUGAAGCACUGCAAAUGCUUUUAGCACAUAAUCGGGCAAGAACACCGCAUUCGAUUAGACAAGUUAGCAAAUAAGUGGCAAGUGCUGGCCAAGCCAAUUGAUUAAACGCCCUAAUUGAAAUAAAAUAUACCAGGCGCGAGUGAUAUAGAGAGAGAGAGAGAGAGCGAGAUCGAAGCAUCGAAAAGCUGCCAAAGAAAUCUUGCCACCAACACACAUUUUUUGCAUUCACUCUUUGCUCUCGGCCGCUUUCAUCGCGUGUUGUUUGUGUGUGUGCGUGUAUAUAUAUUUUGCCGCGUUGCCUUGCUGGCUCAUUCGUGGUCUCCUGAAUCUGUUUUUGUCGCUGGGAAUCGCCCGAAAGCGCUGUUGGAAGAGUGUGCAACAAGAGGCACGUGAAUGUCGCAAAAACACCAGAAGCAGUCCUACCAACCGCUCCCCACCGCCGCGGCCGCCAUGGACAAUCCGGCGAUGACCCAGAGCAGUAGCAGUAGUGGCGGCAGUAAUGAAAAUGUCGCCAACAUACCUCCGACUUACUCGUCACAACAGUUGAUGCCCUCGGAUUCCGACAGCAUGGAAGAGGAGCGUCAGCUACGUCCCACUGGAACUGCAGCCAACCUCGGUGCCGGCCUUGGUUUACCGACCGUGCCCACGCGCCUCUCCGCGGUCGGCCGGUCGCAAUGGUUUACCGUUUCCGUGCUCUGCUUUGUCAAUCUCAUCAACUAUAUGGACCGCUUCACGAUUGCGGGGGUUCUGAAGGAUGUGCAAAACGACUUUCAAAUUGGCAACGAUAGUGCGGGACUCCUGCAGACGGUCUUUGUCAUCUCGUACAUGGUCUGUGCGCCCGUCUUUGGCUAUCUGGGGGAUCGGUACUCCCGGCCGUGGAUCAUGUCCGUGGGCGUGGCCCUAUGGUGCACCACCACGCUGUUGGGCUCGUACAUGCAGAGCUUCGGCUGGUUCAUCACGUUCCGGGCUCUGGUAGGAAUCGGCGAGGCCUCGUACAGCACGAUAGCACCAACGAUAAUAUCGGACCUCUUCGUGGACCACAUGCGCUCCAAGAUGCUGGCGAUGUUCUACUUUGCCAUUCCCGUCGGCUCCGGUAUGGGAUAUAUUGUCGGCUCGAAGACGGCUCACCUGGCCAACAACUGGCGCUGGGCGCUGCGCGUGACCCCCAUCCUGGGCGUGGCUGCAGUCCUGCUGAUUAUGCUGAUCAAGGAUCCGGAGCGCGGCCAAAGCGAGGGCUCCCACAGCAUGGAGGCCACCUCCUACAAAAAGGACAUCAAGGAGCUGCUCAAGAACCGCUCGUUCAUGCUCUCCACGGCCGGAUUCACGUGCGUGGCCUUUGUGGCCGGAGCCCUGUCCUGGUGGGGACCCUCCUUCAUCUACCUAGGCAUGAAGAUGCAGCCGGGCAACGAGAACAUCGUUCAGGACGACGUUGCAUUCAAUUUCGGAGUGAUCACAAUGUUGGCGGGCCUGUUGGGCGUGCCGCUGGGCUCGUUCUUGUCACAGUAUCUGGUGAAGCGAUACCAAUCGGCGGAUCCGGUGAUCUGCGCCUUUGGCCUGCUGCUCAGCGCCCCGCUUCUGUUCGGCGCCUGCCUGAUGGUGUCUUCGCACGAGCUGGGCACCUAUUUGCUAAUAUUUUUCGGACAGUUAGCUUUAAAUUUGAAUUGGGCGGUUGUGGCGGACAUCUUGCUGUAUGUAGUGGUGCCUACGCGUCGUUCCACAGCGGAGGCCUUCCAAAUACUCAUCUCCCACGCCCUGGGCGAUGCCGGCAGUCCCUAUCUUGUGGGAGCGAUGUCGGAGGUCAUCAUGAAGCAUCUGCGCAAGCAUCCCGACGCUUCGGGCUUGACAAAUGAACUGCAAAGCAUGUCCCAGGUGCUGGAGGCGCAACUCGUCAAUGCCACGGAAGUGGCCACGAAAGUGGCCUCGGAGGCUAUCCAUUCGUUACAAACGAAUCUAACAAAGUCAGCUGACAAGAUGGCAGAACAAUUUACGGAACUCGAGCAGUUUGAGGGACUUCAGUACGCGCUGUUCUCCACCAGCUUCGUGGAGGUGCUGGGCGGCAUCUUUUUCCUGUUCACCGCCUGCUUCAUACUCAAGGACAAAUACAAGGCCGCGCAAAGUGUAGCUGGCGAUAAGGGACUAGCAGUGGCAGCGAAAGACGUCGAGUCUGUCAAUUCGGACUGUCUCGUCCUGUACACUGACAUUGCCCUGCGGGAACGCGCGUGAUAGUGCAAGGCGCUCUCGAAAUAAAACUAUUUUGGCCUCAGAUCCCAUAAGAUGCUCAGGAUCAGCACCAGCAGCGGGGCAACCAGAUUGCCUAAUACCAGCCUAUACUGGAAGUUAUGCUGCGCACUCAGAGCACUGAUGGCAUUUUGGGUGAACUCAUACUGACUGAAAAUCAUCUUUAAUUUAAUCUCUACACACACACGCACACCACGGAUUGGUUUCAUUUGGAAUUUGGAUAAUGUGUAGACCUACGUAGGAUACAUGCUCAAUAUUCUAUCAGAAGGGAAAGGACAGAUAGCCACGACAUCCAUACAUACCUAAACAGUUCAGUUAUGUAGAUAUAUACAUACAUACACUCUCAAUCAUCCACUCCUAAACUCGCGAGUCAUAUACUUUUUAAUUGGUUCAUUUUACCUGUAAACGAUAAUUUACGUAGUCGUAGAUAGACCUAGUUCUGGUAUUUUAGUCUAAAGAAAAAUUAAAAUGGAAAAAAAAUACAAAAUAAAACAAGCAAACACUUCAUGCGAUUUCGAGGAUGUUCUCCAUUAGGCGGCCACUGUCUCCUCUCCAAUCAAGACCGAAACUGUUGUAAAUAGUUCAAGAACCCUAUCCUAUUAAGUGGCAGAAGCACCGAACCGCACGGAUUAUCUCAGGCAACGUAUGGAACGCAUGGAGUGUCGAUUGUUGCGAUAUUUAUAUAUAAUAAGCUACACAUUUAGAGUAUAAUAUAUGAAUACAUUUGAUUUGUAAAUAUUGAUACGAAUUGGGCCAUUGUAUAAGUGCAUAGUCUCUAUAGAUAAUCAAUCUAAUCGUAAUUCUGUAAUUUUAUUUUAACUAUAACCUUAAUCGUAAUCUUAACUCUAGAUAGAUUUGUGUAACAAAUUGAAUGAAAUAUCUGCACCCUCAACUAUUACUGAAUAUUACAAGCUAACUAUUUAAACAAAUGGAAGAAAUCCUUUUAGCUACAGAAUUAAUCUUCGGGGAUCAUAUAUGUUUUUGAUGUUAACUCUUAGUCCAAUGUUAGCCACUUCAAACUGAAAUAGAAAGCGACAAAAAGACUGCAAAUAAUCAAAAUCGAUAUUCGUCUUAGGAAUAACCCAAAGAUAGGGCAAACAAAUAUGUGACAAAUAUGAUUUGACAAUUGAGGACUACUGGGGCAAUAAAGAAUUU